This 253-nucleotide ribosomal RNA is filed under the name uncultured bacterium. Its description in RNAcentral is "partial 16S ribosomal RNA". It matches the Rfam family "Bacterial small subunit ribosomal RNA", at positions 524 to 776 of the family's 1533-position model. The record is from RNAcentral.
GACAGAGGGUGCAAACGUUGCUCGGAAUCACUGGGCGUAAAGGGCGUGUAGGCGGGAAGGAUAGUCAGAUGUGAAAGCCCUGGGCUCAACCCAGGAACUGCAUUUGAAACUCCCUUUCUUGAGUGUCGGAGAGGAAAGCGGAAUUCCUGGUGUAGAGGUGAAAUUCGUAGAUAUCGGGAGGAACACCAGUGGCGAAGGCGGCGAUCUGGGUCGAUACUGACGCUGAGGUGCGAAAGCGUGGGGAGCAAACAGG